CAGCAGCCACGGUAAAACGUAGGUGGCAAGCGUUGUCCGGAAUUAUUGGGCGUAAAGGGCUCGCAGGCGGUUUCUUAAGUCUGAUGUGAAAGCCCCCGGCUCAACCGGGGAGGGUCAUUGGAAACUGGGAAACUUGAGUGCAGAAGAGGAGAGUGGAAUUCCAUGUGUAGCGGUGAAAUGCGUAGAUAUAUGGAGGAACACCGGUGGCGAAAGCGGCUCUCUGGUCUGUAACUGACGCUGAGGCUCGAAAGCGUGGGGAGCAAACAGGAUUAGAUACCCGCGUAGUCCCUGUCUCUUAUAC
This 301-nucleotide ribosomal RNA is filed under the name uncultured bacterium. RNAcentral's name for it is "partial 16S ribosomal RNA". It matches the Rfam family "Bacterial small subunit ribosomal RNA", at positions 509 to 807 of the family's 1533-position model. The record is from RNAcentral.